Molecule: ribosomal RNA, 497 nt
Filed under: uncultured bacterium
Lineage: Bacteria
Description: partial 16S ribosomal RNA
Rfam family: Bacterial small subunit ribosomal RNA
Source: RNAcentral
GAUGAACGCUGGCGGCGUGCCUAAUACAUGCAAGUCGAGCGAACGGACGAGAAGCUUGCUUUUCUGAUGUUAGCGGCGGACGGGUGAGUAACACGUGGAUAACCUACCUAUAAGACUGGGAUAACUUCGGGAAACCGGAGCUAAUACCGGAUAAUAUUUUGAACCGCAUGGUUCAAAAGUGAAAGACGGUCUUGCUGUCACUUAUAGAUGGAUCCGCGCUGCAUUAGCUAGUUGGUAAGGUAACGGCUUACCAAGGCAACGAUGCAUAGCCGACCUGAGAGGGCGAUCGGCCACACUGGAACUGAGACACGGUCCAGACUCCUACGGGAGGCAGCAGUAGGGAAUCUUCCGCAAUGGGCGAAAGCCUGACGGAGCAACGCCGCGUGAGUGAUGAAGGUCUUCGGAUCGUAAAACUCUGUUAUUAGGGAAGAACAUAUGUGUAAGUAACUAUGCACAUCUUGACGGUACCUAAUCAGAAAGCCACGGCUAACUACGUG